RNAcentral lists this ribosomal RNA (253 nucleotides) under uncultured bacterium. RNAcentral's name for it is "partial 16S ribosomal RNA". It matches the Rfam family "Bacterial small subunit ribosomal RNA", at positions 524 to 776 of the family's 1533-position model. The record is from RNAcentral.
UACGAAGGGGGCUAGCGUUGUUCGGAAUUACUGGGCGUAAAGCGUAUGCAGGCGGAUCGUUAAGUCGGGGGUGAAAUCCCGAGGCUCAACCUCGGAACUGCCUUCGAUACUGGCGAUCUUGAGUCCGGGAGAGGUGAGUGGAACUCCGAGUGUAGAGGUGAAAUUCGUAGAUAUUCGGAAGAACACCAGUGGCGAAGGCGGCUCACUGGCCCGGUACUGACGCUGAGAUACGAAGGCCAGGGGAGCAAACGGG